This 514-nucleotide ribosomal RNA is filed under the name Lactiplantibacillus plantarum. RNAcentral's name for it is "bacterial SSU rRNA". It matches the Rfam family "Bacterial small subunit ribosomal RNA", at positions 28 to 507 of the family's 1533-position model. The record is from RNAcentral. Lineage: Bacteria; Bacillati; Bacillota; Bacilli; Lactobacillales; Lactobacillaceae.
GACGAACGCUGGCGGCGUGCCUAAUACAUGCAAGUCGAACGAACUCUGGUAAUGAUUGGUGCUUGCAUCAUGAAUUGCAUUUGAGUGAGUGGCGAACUGGUGAGUAACACGUGGGAAACCUGCCCAGAAGCGGGGGAUAACACCUGGAAACAGAUGCUAAUACCGCAUAACAACUUGGACCGCAUGGCCCGAGUUUGAAAGAUGGCUUCGGCUAUCACUUUUGGAUGGUCCCGCGGCGUAUUAGCUAGAUGGUGAGGUAACGGCUCACCAUGGCAAUGAUACGUAGCCGACCUGAGAGGGUAAUCGGCCACAUUGGGACUGAGACACGGCCCAAACUCCUACGGGAGGCAGCAGUAGGGAAUCUUCCACAAUGGACGAAAGUCUGAUGGAGCAACGCCGCGUGAGUGAAGAAGGGUUUCGGCUCGUAAAACUCUGUUGUUAAAGAAGAACAUAUCUGAGAGUAACUGUUCAGGUAUUGACGGUAUUUAACCAGAAAGCCACGGCUAACUACGUG